UACGUAGGGUCCGAGCGUUGUCCGGAAUUAUUGGGCGUAAAGAGCUCGCAGGCGGUUUGUCGCGUCUGCUGUGAAAUCCCGAGGCUCAACCUCGGGCCUGCAGUGGGUACGGGCAGACUGGAGUGCGGUAGGGGAGAAUGGAAUUCCUGGUGUAGCGGUGGAAUGCGCAGAUAUCAGGAGGAACACCGGUGGCGAAGGCGGAUCUCUGGGCCUUACCUGACGCUCAGGCGCGAAAGCUAGGGGAGCGAACAGG
RNAcentral lists this ribosomal RNA (253 nucleotides) under uncultured bacterium. Its description in RNAcentral is "partial 16S ribosomal RNA". It matches the Rfam family "Bacterial small subunit ribosomal RNA", at positions 524 to 776 of the family's 1533-position model. The record is from RNAcentral.